Non-coding RNA from Magnaporthiopsis poae ATCC 64411, 865 nucleotides. The record is from the annotation of a GenBank genome assembly. Lineage: Eukaryota; Fungi; Ascomycota; Sordariomycetes; Magnaporthales; Magnaporthaceae.
ACCUGGUUGAUUCUGCCAGUAGUCAUAUGCUUGUCUUAAAGAUUAAGCCAUGCAUGUCUAAGUAUAAGCAAUUAUACAGCGAAACUGCGAAUGGCUCAUUAAAUCAGUUAUCGUUUAUUUGAUAGUACCUUACUACAUGGAUAACCGUGGUAAUUCUAGAGCUAAUACAUGCUGAAAACCCCGACUUCGGAAGGGGUGUAUUUAUUAGAUUAAAAACCAAUGCCCUUCGGGGCUCACUGGUGAUUCAUGAUAACUUCUCGAAUCGCACGGCCUUGCGCCGGCGAUGGUUCAUUCAAAUUUCUGCCCUAUCAACUUUCGACGGCUGGGUCUUGGCCAGCCGUGGUGACAACGGGUAACGGAGGGUUAGGGCUCGACCCCGGAGAAAACGCCUGAGAAACGGCGUUUACAUCCAAGGAAGGCAGCAGGCGCGCAAAUUACCCAAUGCCGACACGGCGAGGUAGUGACGAGAAAUACUGAUACAGGGCUCUUUUGGGUCUUGUAAUUGGAAUGAGUACAAUUUAAAUCUCUUAACGAGGAACAAUUGGAGGGCAAGUCUGGUGAACGUUCCAGUUCCGAUGCUGGUGCCAGAGAUAGCGGUUAAAUAGCCCACGCUAGUCGAGCAUCCGCCAUCAGCGGGAGGAUGCCGGCGAGACAACCUGGAUCGGGGGACGCUAAGGUGCCGAAGGGCGCUAUGCCAUCCCGAGCGGAGUCCACUGACCGGACCCGUGUAGAGCGCGCAAAGGUGUCGGUCCGGCUCCGUCCGAGCUUGUGCCUUAAGGUACGUUGCUCGAUCCCCCGGCGAAAGGCGGGGGCCGCGGUCAAAUGAUUGCCCGCCUGCACCGAAUGGGACCGGGAUGGUCCGAGG